Oncorhynchus gorbuscha (pink salmon) is the source of this 417-nucleotide long non-coding RNA. RefSeq lists it as uncharacterized. Lineage: Eukaryota; Metazoa; Chordata; Actinopteri; Salmoniformes; Salmonidae. The record is from RefSeq and is a predicted model, not a curated record. The transcript is spliced from 3 exons.
CCACCGUAGGGGUUAGCCAGAACCACCGUAGGGGUUAGCCAGAACCACCGUAGAGGUUAGCCAGAACCACCGUAGGGGUUAGCCAGAACCACCGUAGGGGAUUAGCCAGAACCAAGCAAGAACCACCGUAGGGGUUAGCCAGAACCAAGCCAGAACCACCGUAGGGGUUAGCCAGAACCACCGUAGGGGUUAGCCAGAACCACAGUAGGGGUUAGCCAGAACCACAGUAGAGGUUAGCCAGAACCAAGCCAAAACCACCAUAGGGGUUAGCCAGAACAACCGUAGGGGUUAGCCAGAACCAAGCCAGAACCACCGUAGGGGUUAGCCAGAACCAAGCCAGAACCACCGUAGAGGUUAGCCAGAACCACCGUAGGGGUUAGCCAGAACCAAGCCAGAACCACCGUAGGGGUUAGCCAG